Salvia miltiorrhiza (redroot sage) is the source of this 1128-nucleotide long non-coding RNA. RefSeq lists it as uncharacterized. The record is from RefSeq and is a predicted model, not a curated record. The transcript is spliced from 2 exons. NCBI's taxonomy places the organism in Eukaryota, Viridiplantae, Streptophyta, Magnoliopsida, Lamiales, Lamiaceae.
GGAAUGGGAAAAGUAACUUAAAAUUUGAAAGCAAUGCUGAUAUCUCAUGUUUCUUCUGUUGAUGAUGAUCAACAGUCACUUUCUUCACAAUCUCAUUCUUUGAUGAUCUUACACCUACUAUAAAUAGCCGACGUUGUUCUAGCUCAAGAGUUUAUUUUCUUCUCAUUGUAAGAGAUGACUGUGUGAGACCUCAAGAAGAAGAAGAAGAAGAAGAAAGCAAUAUCCUUUCCAACCAUGGAUCAUCAAUUUCUACGAAAAACGGUCUCCGACGUGACAAACGAAAUGAACAAAAUAGGUAAAGAUUUGGAGACAAUUGUUGAAUUGGAGGAAGCAACAAUUAUCUUGCAAGAAGAAUGUGAGUGUUGUGGGCUCAAAGAAGACUACACAAAAGAAUACGUUUCACGGAUCCGGACCUCGUUUUCGGGUAAAUGGGUUUGCGGGUUAUGCACCGAAGCAGUGAAAGAGAGAUUACACCGUUGCCCCAUAGGCAUCGAAGAUGCCAUAAUCAAUCAUAAAAUUUUUGUGCAAGAUUUCAACACCACAACUAGGGUUAAUCCCAAGUUGUCAUUGGCAUGGAUGAUGAGGGAUAUUGCCAAGAGAAAUUUAGAGAAAAGAAAUGGUUUAUCCGGCGGCGGCGGCGGCAUAAAGAUAACUCGGGCGUCUAGCUGUGCUGCUAGAAUUGAUUUUAGUUAACACGAAACACGAUCGACGCUACUAAAAAAAAAUUCCACUAGUGACAUGAGACUUGGUAGCUAUUAUGUGUGUCAUAAAAAUUAAUGACAUUCGAUGAUGUAGCUAAUCACUAAUAGUUAUAUUUUCAAACGCCACUAAUUUUUGUGACACGAAUAUUAGCUACCAAGUCUCAUGUCACUACUAGAAUUUUUUUUUUUGUAGUGCGAGUACUAGAUUAUAGAAAUAAACUUGUAAUGUUUAUUAAUUACUCCUAUAUAUAUAGAGAGAGAGUGAUGGAUUGAUAUAGGGUUGGAUUUUGGUGAAAAUCGACCUUAUUCUAUUAAGUGUGAUCCAUAAUAUUAUUGUAAUGGAGUAGAUAGAAUGUAUUAUUGUAUUCAUAAAUAUUGUUAAAAAAAUAGUACUAUUGUAUAUGUAAAUCUUUUAAAAUUUGGAAUA